Molecule: long non-coding RNA, 793 nt
Organism: Helianthus annuus (common sunflower)
Lineage: Eukaryota; Viridiplantae; Streptophyta; Magnoliopsida; Asterales; Asteraceae
Exons: 3
Source: RefSeq, a predicted model, not a curated record
UUUUAUACAUAAAAAGCGCUACUGUACCCUCCCCAUUUCCAACAACCACCUCUUCCUGUCUUCUCCCGCCCCUCUCCUUCUACACAUCGAACUACCAGCAACAAAAUCAACAAAUUCCCACUUCACAGGUUCGGAUUUGUAAACGUAGAGGGUUUGGAUUUGUAAACAUAGGCUUCUAUUGGAAACUAGGGUUCCGAUUUGAAAAGGAUUUUGCUAUCAUCAACCGAUUCAUCCUUCACAUCUCCAUUCCUCUGCUAUAUUAGUUUUAUGGCCAUUUUGAUUCAUCAUGAAAGAAUGCUACUUCAAUAACAGACAGUCCCUGCAAACUGCAGAAACGCUGCAGCCUACUUCAAUAACACGUAUGAUGAUAACUGGUUAUUAAUAACCAGUCCAAAAAAUGGCCAGCAACCUGCAGAAACGUUGCAGCCUACAGUGCCGAAAAACGCUGCAGUUUUUUAAGGUUGACUUAAUUGCACGUUUGAUCAAAUGGUUCGUACAUUCUUUCGCAAGUUGUUGAGAUACCUAUCUUCGGAUGAUGAUAGCGAUGAUGAUCUUUAUGAGGAUGUUGAAGAACCUAAUUGAACAUCAAUGGCUACUCUAUUCCCAACAAUAAACGAUGUCGCGCUAUAUUAGAUUGUUUUGUGAAUGUUAUGAGUUUGAUUUAGAAAUAUGUUAUGUGAUGAUCAUUAGAAUUAUAUAUGUAUGAGUAGAACUUAUUAGCUCAACGUUUGUUUAAGUUUGUAUCUAUUUGGACAAUUGACUUGUAAUAUGUUACCAUUUUUAUAAAAUGUAA